RNAcentral lists this long non-coding RNA (303 nucleotides) under Populus tremula. RNAcentral describes it as "long non-coding RNA (PTRE_LNC002207)". Lineage: Eukaryota; Viridiplantae; Streptophyta; Magnoliopsida; Malpighiales; Salicaceae. The record is from RNAcentral.
GCAUCUUCGAUAAUCUUGGUGCAGUAACCUUUUCUUAUUUUGUGGGUUUUAUGAAUGAUUAGUUACUUAAUGGUAGAGCAGUGUUAUUGUUGACUGAUUUGUGGUUCCAAUCCAUACUUGGACUGGUGUACUUUGAUGCGAAUUUGCAAACUCGGACUUGGUGUAUGGCUUGUGCUAGGCACAGUUUUCUUGCCAUGCUAUUUCUGGCAAUUCGUCAGUGGCAAUGCAAGGGAACUGAAGGGCCAAUUGUAUACAUAUGAGAAUCGUUCGAGCAUCAGUAGCUUUUCUAUUUUUAUCUUCUUU